UGGGGAAUUUUGGACAAUGGGCGCAAGCCUGAUCCAGCCAUGCCGCGUGUCUGAAGAAGGCCUUCGGGUUGUAAAGGACUUUUGUCAGGGAAGAAAAGGAUAGGGUUAAUACCCCUGUCUGAUGACGGUACCUGAAGAAUAAGCACCGGCUAACUACGUGCCAGCAGCCGCGGUAAUACGUAGGGUGCGAGCGUUAAUCGGAAUUACUGGGCGUAAAGCGGGCGCAGACGGUUACUUAAGCAGGAUGUGAAAUCCCCGGGCUCAACCUGGGAACUGCGUUCUGAACUGGAUGACUAGAGUGUGUCAGAGGGAGGUAGAAUUCCACGUGUAGCAGUGAAAUGCGUAGAGAUGUGGAGGAAUACCGAUGGCGAAGGCAGCCUCCUGGGAUAACACUGACGUUCAUGCCCGAAAGCGUGGGUAGCAAACAGGAUUAGAUACCCUGGUAGUCCACGCCCUAAACGAUGUCGAUUAGCUGUUGGGCAGCUUGACUGCUUAGUAGCGAAGCUAACGCGUGAAAUCGACCGCCUGGGGAGUACGGUCNGCAAGAUUA
This 550-nucleotide ribosomal RNA is filed under the name uncultured bacterium. RNAcentral describes it as "bacterial SSU rRNA". It matches the Rfam family "Bacterial small subunit ribosomal RNA", at positions 355 to 896 of the family's 1533-position model. The record is from RNAcentral.